This 253-nucleotide ribosomal RNA is filed under the name uncultured bacterium. RNAcentral describes it as "partial 16S ribosomal RNA". It matches the Rfam family "Bacterial small subunit ribosomal RNA", at positions 524 to 776 of the family's 1533-position model. The record is from RNAcentral.
UACGUAGGGGGCAAGCGUUGUCCGGAUUUAUUGGGCGUAAAGGGCGUGUAGGCGGCCAGGUAGGUCCGUUGUGAAAACUCGAGGCUCAACCUCGAGACGCCGAUGGAAACCAUCUGGCUAGAGUCCGGAAGAGGAGAGUGGAAUUCCCGGUGUAGCGGUGAAAUGCGCAGAUAUCGGGAAGAACACCCGUGGCUAAGGCGGCUCUCUAGUACGGUACUGACGCUGAGACGCGAAAGCGUGGGGAGCGAACAGG